CGGCAAUGGAGGAAACUCUGACCGAGCAACGCCGCGUGAACGAUGAAGUAUUUCGGUACGUAAAGUUCUUUUAUUAGGGAAGAAUAAAUGAUGGAAAAAUCAUUCUGACGGUACCUAAUGAAUAAGCCCCGGCUAACUAUGUGCCAGCAGCCGCGGUAAUACAUAGGGGGCAAGCGUUAUCCGGAAUUAUUGGGCGUAAAGGGUGCGUAGGCGGUUAAAUAAGUUUAUGGUCUAAGUGCAAUGCUCAACAUUGUGAUGCUAUAAAAACUGUUUAGCUAGAGUAAGAUAGAGGCAAGUGGAAUUCCAUGUGUAGUGGUAAAAUGCGUAAAUAUAUGGAGGAACACCAGUAGCGAAGGCGGCUUGCUGGGUCUUUACUGACGCUGAGGCACGAAAGCGUGGGGAGCAAACAGGAUUAGAUACCCUGGUAGUCCACGCCGUAAACGAUGAGUACUAAACGUUGGGUAAAACCAGUGUUGAAGUUAACACAUUAAGUACUCCGCCUGAGUAGUACGUACGCAAGUAUGAAACUUAAAGGAAUUGACGGGACUCCGCACAAGCGGUGGAUCAUGUUGUUUAAUUCGAAGGUACCCGAAAAACCUCACCAGGUCUUGACAUGCUUCUGCAAAGCUGUAGAAACACAGUGGAGGUUAUCAGUUGCACAGGUGGUGCAUGGUUGUCGUCAGCUCGUGUCGUGAGAUGUUGGGUUAAGUCCCGCAACGAGCGCAACCCUUAUUGUUAGUUACCAGCGCGUAAUGGUGGGGACUUUAGCAAGACUGCCAGUGAUAAAUUGGAGGAAGGUGGGGACGACGUCAAAUCAUCAUGCCCCUUAUGACCUGGGCUACAAACGUGAUACAAUGGCUGUUACAAAGAGUAGCUGAA
RNAcentral lists this ribosomal RNA (879 nucleotides) under 'Prunus persica' phytoplasma. Its description in RNAcentral is "bacterial SSU rRNA". It matches the Rfam family "Bacterial small subunit ribosomal RNA", at positions 366 to 1254 of the family's 1533-position model. Lineage: Bacteria; Bacillati; Mycoplasmatota; Mollicutes; Acholeplasmatales; Acholeplasmataceae. The record is from RNAcentral.